GCGGCGCAGCAUGGAGCAGGCGGGGCACGUGGCGCACGGAUUUUAUUGGCGGCAGCUGCACUGCAGUUUAACUGCUGCAGUAUUUCUUCUUGUCCAGGUGGAGGUACAAGCAGGUGGCACCGUACCCAUCCUCCUGGCAAGGCCACCAUGGCUCGGCUUAAACAAGACCUUGUGGCUGUUUGUACCUGACCUCAGAGGAGGUAUGCUGGAAAUGAACUGUCCUUAGAAGACGUUUCCAUGCACGCAGCACACUUCAGCAGCUCAGACAGCAGUUUCUCCAUCACCAAAGCAGCACCCACUUAGGCUCUAUGGUUCUCUAUGCCAAGGCAUGAAGUGAGUUGGGAACUUUGACAUUAGAUUAAAAAAAAAAAAAAUUAAAGGUAAGUAAAAGGCUCAGGAGUCAGCCAGGAGCAAGUCCAAAAUACUUUGCUCGUUAUCGGACCUGAGAGGCCCUAACACUGUCGAGGCUGUGGAUUAGGCAUUGUUACGUACAUGAGAUAUUCCCUUGAGAAUAAGAGCCUCCAUUUAUUUCUACAGUAUGCAGCAAGCCUUCCAUUUUAACAGCAAGGGAAGAGGCAGAGCUCAUCUUUCCACAACAAUCUAAAAUACCAGAGCGCUUAUUCUGGAAACUUAACAGUUCAGCAUCCCUCGGCAAGUUCACAUGCAUCUUUCUGUAGGUGACGGUGACAGCAUCUUCCUCUUCAGAGUGGCUGAAACUGUCACGGUGCACACAGGAUCCAGUGUUGACAGACCCAUGGGACGCCUCCGUAAGCUGGACAUGCUGCUCAACAGCCAGAACCGUCCCCAUCUCUCACAAGCUCUCUGAGUCUCUGGGAUUCCCCACUCACGGAUUAACUAAGGCCAAACAGGUGCUGAGUUGCAGGCUCGAGAUUCCUAUGUCCUAACAGUGAGCACACUGAGCAAACAUUACAGGCUGAUGUAAAGGAGCCAGUGCUUCAGUUUACUUGGGAAAAAAACAUCUUGAUCUUAUGACACGGAUCAAGCUGCUGACUUUCCCUUCAAUAUCUGAGUGUUCUCUUUCUCCUUUGCUACUUUGGCCACCUUUACUCUUUUUAAAUAUUUUAUUUCUCUCUUCUUUUAUUGAUGAUCCUCGGGACUCUGCAGUUCCUUCUUCCCAAUUUCUCAGCGUAUGAUUUUUUAUGGAUGUUUCCAAGAAAACCUCUGAUAAACUGGCCUUGCUAAGUCAGAAAUCAAAAAUACUAUCAUAUCUGGGAUUUUGACAAGGGGACCACUCAGUGUGAGAAUGUGGUAAUUCAACAUAGAAUAUUUGGAGCAGAAACUACAGAAUAAGAUAACAGAUGACGGAAAGAAUGCUGAGUACAAAGGACACCUCCAGGAGACAAAAACUAGAGUCAAGUGAGAUGGGUGAUCGCUGCCUAAUAAAUACCCUGACUGGAGGCAGAGCGCAUGGCUAUGAGCAACUCAUGGCUAUUGCUUGAUAAGUACCUGUAUGCACAAGUAAGUAGUAGAGCAGGGAUGCCAUUGUGGAAUGUUUUGUUGACAUGUAAGUGGGGGUGGGAAAGUUACACGAGGAAGCUUGGAAAUCUAUAAAAGGGAUAUUUAUUAGGACCUGCAAUAAUGGAUUGUUCACAUCUGAGUCCAUGCCUUCAGACACUGCCAAUGGUGUCCCUGUGGGGCAGAAAUCAAGCCAAGGCUUAACAAGUCCUGUCCGGCAACAUCACCCGACUGAACCAUUGGAGGAUUAUUUUCCGCACCCAUCAUCAAUCUGCACGACAGAAGUUGAGCAGUCAGAAACACAGGGAAGUCACUAAUGUGAAGGAGCAAGAAGUAAACCGUGAAGUAUUAUAGAGGAUUUUGAAGUCUCAGAAUCGACCUGUAUCUACCUCAGCAUUAGUUACUUUUCUUGAUUUGGUAAGAAGAAAUGCCCAAGUUUCUGAUAACUGGUUCCUUCAAUGGGGCAGUUUGGGACAAAAUGGACACAGAACUCUGGGACAUUACCACUACUGCAGACAAGACUGCUGCUAAGCAUUUAACUCUGGAAGUACUCCAAUGCUUAAACUCUGUAAUAACAUAAUUGCAACAUCAAUACAGCCAUUGUGUUUAUCACUCCCGGUAUCUCUCAUAAUAAUAUCAAACUCUUAUCAACCAUACAGCUUGUUAUGUCUGUGGGAUACCUCAAGGAAAGAUCCUCUCAUCAUCCUCAAAUGGAUGUUCUUACCACAUACAUUUUCAAAAACCAUCACAAGUGGAGAUGUUUGCAGUGCUAAUAUGGUGAGGUCAACAUAGAAUUAUCAUAGGUUUGUGUCUGUAGCUGCUGUAAUUUGCCUUCUUGCCUGGUUAGAUAAUGUGAUGAUGAAGCCAUGAUGCAUUGCAGAUGGAGUAUUCUGUGACUUAAGGCAUGAAGAGUUCGUGCUUCUAUACAGGAAGAUCAUCUGCCUCAUGGGAAUGUGACACUGGAACAUAUUAUCUUGUGAAAACUCACCUUUAAUCAGGAAUUAAAAAAAAAAAAAAAAGAUCUAGAAGUGAAUUCCAUUGGAUGUGUCAGGAUUUCCAGGCAGUGAAUCUGUUAGUGAAUGAACAGUCUACAAACUUUGCGAGCUUCUGACCCUGAUUGCAUCCGUAUCUCCACUGCUAAAAAAGAUUUAGAUUGGAUGCUUGUGCAUUUGCUCACUUUACAAGCUGCUGUGGUUGACUACAUUGGACAAAUCUCCACUCAUCCCCCAAAACAUCAGUUACUGCAUAAUUUGAGUGAUAUGUCCCCUACUACAAACGUUUUGAUUUCACAUAUUCCAUUACCUGAUGUUGUUACUGUACUGAGAUGGCUCCGGCACGACACAACAAGCGGUGGUUCUCUAGCAUAUGACUGCUACAUGAUGGUUGUCAGAUGUGCGUAUUGUCUAUGGGUCACCUCAAAUUGUAGAAGUUGCUACAGUGGCUCAAGCUUUUCAAAUUUUUGCAAAACAAAAGCUUAAUAUAACAACUGACUCUUUGUAUGUUACAGGUACCCUUCAGUGGAUUGAAAGAUCUUUUCUUAAGUUAACAACCCUACCUUGUGUGCACAGCUCAAGUGUGUUUUGCAUUAUAUCUCUCACUGUACUCUUCUCCUUAUUUUAUUAUACAUAUUUGAUCACACACUGUUACCUGGUCUGUUAACUGCAGGCACCUGCAAGGCUGAUCAAGCCACAGUCGCCUUUGCUACCCCCUCAAUUAUUUCAACAAGAGUGACUCUCCCAUCCAUUUUUCCAUCAGAAUAGAAGAGCCUUACAAAAACAAUUCCAACUGACAGUAGAUCAGGCCUGUGACAUUAUUCUAACAUGCCCGGACUGCCAGGCAAUUGCCCCUUUGCCUCAAAUAGGAACAAAUCCCCAUGGCACAGCCCGUCUUCAAAUCUGGCAAUCAUAUGUCACUCAUGUUGAAGAAUUUGGCCAUCUAAAAUAUGUGCAUGUAACAGUAGGUACUUAUUCUUCUUACAUGUUUGCCACAGUGCAUACAGGCAAAUGCCAUCGCAGUGCCCAUAAAUACUGGUUAUCUGCUUAUGCGGCUAUGGGGAUCCCACAUACUAUAAAAACAGAUAAUGGCCCUGCAUAUAGUUCCAGGGACACUCAAAUUUUCCUUCAAGAAUGGGGGGUUACACAUGUUACAGGCAUUCUUCAUUCUCCCACCGGACAAGCUAUCAUUGAAUGUGCUCAUCAAACAUUGAAAUGUACUCUUAAUAAACAAAAAAGGGGGAAUACGGGAGACACACUGCAGGAGAUUAUGUAAAGCUUUGCUUGUACUGAAUUUUUUGAACCACAAUCAUACAGAUAGGUUGAGCAGACCGCCAUUUUGGGGCCUCCUCAGUGCUCAAGGAACGACUGAUGGUUAAUGUUCAGAAUAUGGCCACAGUGCAUUGAGAACAUCUCUUGCCAUUAAUACCUUGGAGUCAUAAAUAUGCUUGUGUUUCCACAGAGACUGGCCCUAGGUGGGUUCCAGAGCAAUACAUUCGGCUUCAUCUCAAGGCAGAGAAUAGCAUCCAGCCCUCAUAGCAACCAGGACUGUGUGUUUCUUACCUGUUGGUAUUGCUUUGCAAUUUGUUGUAUUGUGGAUGACUCAUAGGUGCCAUAGUGAGUGGUACAGAAUGUCUGGAUUACCCACUGGAUAGUAUCACAAUAACAACACUGGUAAUGGUAUGACAAAAGAGGGUGAUUUACCUGUGUUACUGAUGCAGCUCUUUUUGGUGUAAUUUCACCACCCCAGUAUCAGUAACACCCAGUUGUGAUGUUAUUAGCCUACCAGUUAACCUUUUCUUAAUUUGCGGAGACAGAUUCUGGAAGGAAUCCCAGGCAGAGCAAUGGAGGACCCUGUACUACAGAACAAUUAACUCUAUUUCAUCCACUGAUCAGGAUUUUAGAAAUACAACCAUGCAUCAUUCAAGAUGAAGGUGCAUGCUAUCUUACUUUGAUUCAAGAUGUGAUUCGAAUACAGAAUUCUGGAAUACCACCCAACAAAUUUUCUGUUUCACUGGUCCGUUCAGUUGGUACCUUUGUCAAGGACCUAAGGGCUCCUGACUGAAGAAUGAUCCUGGAAUGGAACAAAGUAUACUGACAGUUUUAAGGGAACUGAUAUUUGUGGCUGUAGCAGCAAUUAUCUUGUUUUGUAGAGAGAGCUGGCCUUGGUAGUUUAUCUUAUUUUUUGCAAAGACUUGUUUUGCAAGCAGGUGUUCCACUUGGGCUCUGUUUCAUGCACUAGCCACACAGAUAUCAUGUGCAAAUGGAAAAAACCCUGCAGAUGCUGGGGAAAAUAAAAACAGGAGAGACGCUGUGGUGGGUGAGAGAGGAAAAGUGCACUUUGAAGCAGGGGAUGCCCUGCUGACACUGCCUAUCAAAUCCACCACCAGCAUGUUCCUUCUCUCUCCUUUCCGGUGGUUCACCAUCUCUCAAGGGUUGGGGCAGCCAGCCAGAGGCAACACA
This is a long non-coding RNA of Gallus gallus (chicken), 4931 nucleotides long. RefSeq lists it as uncharacterized. Lineage: Eukaryota; Metazoa; Chordata; Aves; Galliformes; Phasianidae. The transcript has 3 exons. The record is from RefSeq and is a predicted model, not a curated record.